GACGAACGCUGGCGGCGUGCUUAACACAUGCAAGUCGAACGGAAAGGCCCUGCUUGCAGGGUACUCAAGUGGCGAACGGGUGAGUAACACGUGGGUGAUCUGCCCUGCACUUCGGGAUAAGCCUGGGAAACUGGGUCUAAUACCGGAUAGGAGCCAUUUUUAGUGUGAUGGUUGGAAAGUUUUUUCGGUGUAGGAUGAGCUCGCGGCCUAUCAGCUUGUUGGUGGGGUAAUGGCCUACCAAGGCGGCGACGGGUAGCCGGCCUGAGAGGGUGGACGGCCACAUUGGGACUGAGAGACGGCCCAGACUCCUACGGGAGGCAGCAGUGGGGAAUAUUGCACAAUGGGCGCAAGCCUGAUGCAGCGACGCCGCGUGGGGGAUGACGGCCUUCGGGUUGUAAACUCCUUUCGCUAGGGACGAAGCUUUUUGUGACGGUACCUAGAUAAGAAGCACCGGCUAACUACGUG
RNAcentral lists this ribosomal RNA (465 nucleotides) under uncultured bacterium. RNAcentral describes it as "partial 16S ribosomal RNA". It matches the Rfam family "Bacterial small subunit ribosomal RNA", at positions 28 to 507 of the family's 1533-position model. The record is from RNAcentral.